RNAcentral lists this transfer RNA (65 nucleotides) under Pachysandra terminalis. RNAcentral describes it as "partial transfer RNA-Leu". The record is from RNAcentral. Lineage: Eukaryota; Viridiplantae; Streptophyta; Magnoliopsida; Buxales; Buxaceae.
UAGACGCUACGGACUUAAAUCCGUCGACUUUAGAAAUCGUGAGGGUUUCAGUCCCUCUAUCCCCA